AACGAACGCUGGCGGCGUGCCUAACACAUGCAAGUCGAGCGAGAAAGUCCCUUCGGGGGCGAGUAGAGCGGCGGACGGGUGAGUAAUACGUGGAUAAUCUUCCCUCGAGCUUGGGAUAACCCUGCGAAAGUGGGGCUAAUACCGGAUAAGACCACAUGGCAUAUGCCACGGGGUAGAAGGUGGCUUAUAUUUAUAUGAGCUAUCACUUGAGGAUGAGUCCAUGGCCUAUCAGCUUGUUGGUGAGGUAAGAGCUCACCAAGGCUAUGACGGGUAGCUGGUCUGAGAGGACGACCAGCCACACUGGGACUGAGACACGGCCCAGACUCCUACGGGAGGCUG
Molecule: ribosomal RNA, 339 nt
Filed under: uncultured Pseudomonadota bacterium
Lineage: Bacteria; Pseudomonadati; Pseudomonadota
Description: bacterial SSU rRNA
Rfam family: Bacterial small subunit ribosomal RNA
Source: RNAcentral